This 254-nucleotide ribosomal RNA is filed under the name uncultured bacterium. RNAcentral's name for it is "partial 16S ribosomal RNA". It matches the Rfam family "Bacterial small subunit ribosomal RNA", at positions 524 to 776 of the family's 1533-position model. The record is from RNAcentral.
UACGUAGGGUGCAAGCGUUGUCCGGAAUUAUUGGGCGUAAAGAGCUCGUAGGCGGCUUGUCGCGUCAACUGUGAAAACCCGUGGCCCAACCAUGUGGUCUGCAGUCGAUACGGGCAGGCUAGAAUUCGGUAGGGGAGACUGGAAUUCCUGGUGUAGCGGUGAAAUGCGCAGAUAUCAGGAGGAACACCGGUGGCGAAGGCGGGUCUCUGGGCCGAUAUUGACGCUGAGGAGCGAAAGCGUGGGGAGCGAACAGG